Molecule: ribosomal RNA, 492 nt
Filed under: uncultured bacterium
Lineage: Bacteria
Description: partial 16S ribosomal RNA
Rfam family: Bacterial small subunit ribosomal RNA
Source: RNAcentral
AGUGAACGCUGGCGGUAGGCCUAACACAUGCAAGUCGAACGGCAGCACAGUAAGAGCUUGCUCUUACGGGUGGCGAGUGGCGGACGGGUGAGGAAUACAUCGGAAUCUACUUUUUCGUGGGGGAUAACGUAGGGAAACUUACGCUAAUACAGCAUACGACCUACGGGUGAAAGCAGGGGAUCUUCGGACCUUGCGCGAUUGAAUGAGCCGAUGUCGGAUUAGCUAGUUGGCGGGGUAAAGGCCCACCAAGGCGACGAUCCGUAGCUGGUCUGAGAGGAUGAUCAGCCACACUGGAACUGAGACACGGUCCAGACUCCUACGGGAGGCAGCAGUGGGGAAUAUUAGACAAUGGGCGCAAGCCUGAUCCAGCCAUACCGCGUGUGUGGAGGAGGCCUUCGGGUUGUAAAGCCCUUUUGUUGGGAAAGAAAAGCAGCAGGUUAAUACCCCGCUGUUCUGACGGUACCCAAAGAAGAAGCACCGGCUAACUUCGUG